UCUCCGUUGGUGAACCAGCGGAGGGAUCAUUAUAGAGUUUUAUAACUCCCAAACCCCUGUGAACAUACCACUUGUUGCCUCGGCGGAUCAGCCCGCUCCCGGUAAAACGGGACGGCCCGCCAGAGGACCCCUAAACUCUGUUUCUAUAUGUAACUUCUGAGUAAAACCAUAAAUAAAUCAAAACUUUCAACAACGGAUCUCUUGGUUCUGGCAUCGAUGAAGAACGCAGC
Molecule: unclassified non-coding RNA, 230 nt
Filed under: uncultured fungus
Lineage: Eukaryota; Fungi
Description: sequence contains ITS1, 5.8S rRNA gene
Rfam family: 5.8S ribosomal RNA (bases 182-230)
Source: RNAcentral